AUUGAACGCUGGCGGCAUGCCUAACACAUGCAAGUCGAACGAGUGGCGGACGGGUGCGUAAUGUAUGGGAAACUGCCCGAUGGAGGGGGAUAACUACUAGCAACGGUAGCUAAUACCGCAUACUAUCGGAUGUGCCCAGAUGGGAUGAGCUAGUUGGUGGGGUAACGGCUCACCUAGGCGACGAUCCCUAGCUGGUCUGAGAGGAUGACCAGCCACACUGGGACUGAGACACGGUCCAGACGCCUACGGGAGGCAGCAGUGGGGAAUCUUGGACAAUGGGCGAAAGCCUGAUCCAGCCAGGCCGCGUGUGUGAAGAAGGGCUUCGGGUUGUAAAGUACUUUGGGCAGGGAAGCGGUACUCGAAGAAUAAGCACCGGCUAACUACGUGCCAGCAGCCGCGGUAAUUC
Molecule: ribosomal RNA, 406 nt
Filed under: uncultured bacterium
Lineage: Bacteria
Description: partial 16S ribosomal RNA
Rfam family: Bacterial small subunit ribosomal RNA
Source: RNAcentral